AACGCUGGCGGCGUGCCUAAUACAUGCAAGUCGAGCGAGCGGAACUAACAGAUUUACUUCGGUAAUGACGUUAGGAAAGCGAGCGGCGGAUGGGUGAGUAACACGUGGGGAACCUGCCCCAUAGUCUGGGAUACCACUUGGAAACAGGUGCUAAUACCGGAUAAGAAAGCAGAUCGCAUGAUCAGCUUUUAAAAGGCGGCGUAAGCUGUCGCUAUGGGAUGGCCCCGCGGUGCAUUAGCUAGUUGGUAAGGUAAAGGCUUACCAAGGCGAUGAUGCAUAGCCGAGUUGAGAGACUGAUCGGCCACAUUGGGACUGAGACACGGCCCAAACUCCUACGGGAGGCAGCAGUAGGGAAUCUUCCACAAUGGACGCAAGUCUGAUGGAGCAACGCCGCGUGAGUGAAGAAGGUUUUCGGAUCGUAAAGCUCUGUUGUUGGUGAAGAAGGAUAGAGGUAGUAACUGGCCUUUAUUUGACGGUAAUCAACCAGAAAGUCACGGCUAACUACGUGCCAGCAGCCGCGGUAAUACGUAGGUGGCAAGCGUUGUCCGAUUUAUUGGGCGUAAAGCGAGCGCAGGCGGAAGAAUAAGUCUGAUGUGAAAGCCCUCGGCUUAACCGAGGAACUGCAUCGGAAACUGUUUUUCUUGAGUGCAGAAGAGGAGAGUGGAACUCCAUGUGUAGCGGUGGAAUGCGUAGAUAUAUGGAAGAACACCAGUGGCGAAGGCGGCUCUCUGGUCUGCAACUGACGCUGAGGCUCGAAAGCAUGGGUAGCGAACAGGAUUAGAUACCCUGGUAGUCCAUGCCGUAAACGAUGAGUGCUAAGUGUUGGGAGGUUUCCGCCUCUCAGUGCUGCAGCUAACGCAUUAAGCACUCCGCCUGGGGAGUACGACCGCAAGGUUGAAACUCAAAGGAAUUGACGGGGGCCCGCACAAGCGGUGGAGCAUGUGGUUUAAUUCGAAGCAACGCGAAGAACCUUACCAAGUCUUGACAUCUAGUGCCAUUUGUAGAGAUACAAAGUUCCCUUCGGGGACGCUAAGACAGGUGGUGCAUGGCUGUCGUCAGCUCGUGUCGUGAGAUGUUGGGUUAAGUCCCGCAACGAGCGCAACCCUUGUUAUUAGUUGCCAGCAUUAAGUUGGGCACUCUAAUGAGACUGCCGGUGACAAACCGGAGGAAGGUGGGGAUGACGUCAAGUCAUCAUGCCCCUUAUGACCUGGGCUACACACGUGCUACAAUGGGCAGUACAACGAGAAGCGAGCCUGCGAAGGCAAGCGAAUCUCUGAAAGCUGUUCUCAGUUCGGACUGCAGUCUGCAACUCGACUGCACGAAGCUGGAAUCGCUAGUAAUCGCGGAUCAGCACGCCGCGGUGAAUACGUUCCCGGGCCUUGUACACACCGCCCGUCACACCAUGGGAGUCUGCAAUGCCCAAAGCCGGUGGCCUAACUUUCGGGAAGGAGCUGUCUAAGGCAGGGCAGAUGACUGGGGUGAAGUCGUAACAAGGAGCUGUAGGAGAAC
RNAcentral lists this ribosomal RNA (1509 nucleotides) under Lactobacillus crispatus. RNAcentral's name for it is "bacterial SSU rRNA". It matches the Rfam family "Bacterial small subunit ribosomal RNA". The record is from RNAcentral. Lineage: Bacteria; Bacillati; Bacillota; Bacilli; Lactobacillales; Lactobacillaceae.